Molecule: ribosomal RNA, 301 nt
Filed under: uncultured bacterium
Lineage: Bacteria
Description: partial 16S ribosomal RNA
Rfam family: Bacterial small subunit ribosomal RNA
Source: RNAcentral
CAUAGCCGCGGGAAUACGAAGGGUGCAAGCGUUAAUCGGAAUUACUGGGCGUAAAGCGUGCGUAGGCGGUUUGUUAAGUCUGUUGUGAAAUCCCCGGGCUCAACCUGGGAAUGGCAAUGGAUACUGGCAAGCUAGAGUGUGUCAGAGGAUGGUGGAAUUCCCGGUGUAGCGGUGAAAUGCGUAGAGAUCGGGAGGAACAUCAGUGGCGAAGGCGGCCAUCUGGGACAACACUGACGCUGAGGCACGAAAGCGUGGGGAGCAAACAGGAUUAGAUACCCCCGUAGUCCCUGUCUCUUAUACA